CAGUAGCCGCGGUAAUACAGAGGGUGCAAGCGUUAAUCGGAUUUACUGGGCGUAAAGGGCGCGUAGGUGGUUAUUUAAGUGAGAUGUGAAAGCCCCGGGCUUAACCUGGGAACUGCAUCUUAUACUGGGUAACUGGAGUGCAGUAGAGGGUAGUGGAAUUUCCGGUGUAGCGGUGAAAUGCGUAGAUAUUGGGAAGAACACCGGUGGCGAAGGCGGCGACCUGGUCCUUUACUGACGCUGAGGCGCGAAAGCGUGGGGAGCAAACAGGAUUAGAUACCCGUGUAGUCCCUGUCUCUUAUAC
This 301-nucleotide ribosomal RNA is filed under the name uncultured bacterium. Its description in RNAcentral is "partial 16S ribosomal RNA". It matches the Rfam family "Bacterial small subunit ribosomal RNA", at positions 509 to 807 of the family's 1533-position model. The record is from RNAcentral.